AGUGAACGCUGGCGGUAGGCCUAACACAUGCAAGUCGAACGGCAGCACAGUAAGAGCUUGCUCUUACGGGUGGCGAGUGGCGGACGGGUGAGGAAUACAUCGGAAUCUACUUUUUCGUGGGGGAUAACGUAGGGAAACUUACGCUAAUACCGCAUACGACCUACGGGUGAAAGCAGGGGAUCUUCGGACCUUGCGCGAUUGAAUGAGCCGAUGUCGGAUUAGCUAGUUGGCGGGGUAAAGGCCCACCAAGGCGACGAUCCGUAGCUGGUCUGAGAGGAUGAUCAGACACACUGGAACUGAGACACGGUCCAGACUCCUACGGGAGGCAGCAGUGGGGAAUAUUAGACAAUGGGCGCAAGCCUGAUCCGGCCAUACCGCGUGGGUGAAGAAGGCCUUCGGGUUGUAAAGCCCUUUUGUUGGGAAAGAAAAGCAGCAGGUUAAUACCCCGCUGUUCUGACGGUACCCAAAGAAUAAGCACCGGCUAACUUCGUG
RNAcentral lists this ribosomal RNA (492 nucleotides) under uncultured bacterium. RNAcentral's name for it is "partial 16S ribosomal RNA". It matches the Rfam family "Bacterial small subunit ribosomal RNA", at positions 29 to 507 of the family's 1533-position model. The record is from RNAcentral.